This 435-nucleotide ribosomal RNA is filed under the name uncultured bacterium. RNAcentral's name for it is "partial 16S ribosomal RNA". It matches the Rfam family "Bacterial small subunit ribosomal RNA", at positions 29 to 507 of the family's 1533-position model. The record is from RNAcentral.
AGCGAACGCUGGCGGCAGGCUUAACACAUGCAAGUCGAGCGGGCAUCUUCGGAUGUCAGCGGCAGACGGGUGAGUAACACGUGGGAACGUACCCUUCGGUUCGGAACAACUCUGGGAAACUGGAGCUAAUACCGGAUACGCCCUUAUGGGGAAAGGCUUACUGCCGAAGGAUCGGCCCGCGUCUGAUUAGAUAGUUGGUGGGGUAACGGCCUACCAAGGCGACGAUCAGUAGCUGGUCUGAGAGGAUGAGCAGCGACACUGGGGCUGAGACACGGCCCAGACUCCUACGCGAUGGAGGAGUGGGGGAUAGAGGAAAGUCGGCGCAAGCAUGAUCCAGCCCGGCCGGGUGAGUGAUGAAGGCCGUAGGGUUGUAAAGCUCUAUUGUCCGGGACGAUAAUGACGGUACCGGAAGAAUAAGCCCCGGCUAACUUCGUG